GUAUGUAAAUUCCCUAACGAGGAAGUACAUUUUCCUACCUUCUGAAGCUGGAAGUACAAAUUGAUUUUGCUGAUCACACAGCACGGGAUAUUCCGUUGAAAAGCGAAAUUGUACCGAAAGUAGUAGUCUGGAGACGUGUUUUCACAAAUGGAAAACUUGACAAUUGGCACGCCAUUUCAAAACGCGGCUCUUCAUUUCACGACGCGUGCUCAAAAGACGCCGAACUGCAACAGCGAGGCCAAACAGGAACGCUGGACAUUUGAAAUGGCAUAGUGGUAAUUACAGCCAUUUAAUUACACAGUGUCUGAUGCCUGCCUUCAAGAGGAUAGAGCAGAGUGUCCACUGACCCGUCAACUGUUUGCAAUUGCAGCCAGAACCAAAGCUGCUUUUGGAAUUUGCUGAACUCCAGCACUUGAAAGAAUGUAUAUAUGACAGCUGAGACAACUCUAUAGACCGUAUUUAUUCGUAACACAACG
Molecule: long non-coding RNA, 476 nt
Filed under: Sinocyclocheilus grahami
Lineage: Eukaryota; Metazoa; Chordata; Actinopteri; Cypriniformes; Cyprinidae
Description: lncRNA (ENSSGRG00000016219.1)
Source: RNAcentral